CAGCAGUAGCCGCGGUAAUACGAAGGGUGCAAGCGUUACUCGGAAUUACUGGGCGUAAAGCGUGCGUAGGUGGUGGUUUAAGUCCGUUGUGAAAGCCCUGGGCUCAACCUGGGAAUUGCAGUGGAUACUGGGUCACUAGAGUGUGGUAGAGGAUAGUGGAAUUUCCGGUGUAGCAGUGAAAUGCGUAGAGAUCGGAAGGAACAUCUGUGGCGAAGGCGACUAUCUGGGCCAACACUGACACUGAGGCACGAAAGCGUGGGGAGCAAACAGGAUUAGAUACCCGCGUAGUCCCUGUCUCUUAUAC
RNAcentral lists this ribosomal RNA (304 nucleotides) under uncultured bacterium. RNAcentral describes it as "partial 16S ribosomal RNA". It matches the Rfam family "Bacterial small subunit ribosomal RNA", at positions 506 to 807 of the family's 1533-position model. The record is from RNAcentral.